UACAUAUCAUGUUUUGUGUUCUGGCAAGAAGACAUGUCUUUGGAUUUUUAUUUUUUUUCUUUUUCUAUUUUCCCUUUUGCUGCUUCUGGGCGAGGUGGCUAUUUGUUAUGAAUUCCUUCUUAAAUUACCAAGUAAAUCUGAUUAAUGUUUUAAGAUGCAUUCUGUGAAAUCCUUUUCCUCUUUUCCUUUUCUUGUUGUAUGUUAUGAAAUCCCCCUUUUUGUUAGUUGACCCAAUAACAUAUAAUCUACUGUGAGAUAAAAUUCCAUCUUUCUUUUAGGUGGUGUGGAAGAUUUGCCACUAGUGUUCUUUUCACUGUUUCUUCCUUUACCGAGUAUCUUUAAUCUCAUCUUGCACUUACCAUGAUCAGGAACUUGAAAGACCGGUUGGCCCAUAGGAAACGAUCUCGAUUGCCUCCCUCAUCCGAGAAAGCAGGUAAAAGUGAAUUGGUCUCGGAAGCAGCUGAAUGGGAAUGAUGAGGUAAUGCAAUGCAAGACCUGACAUUCAUGUAUUUUCUGAGUUCUUAUUGCAUGUUCCAAGCGGCAUGACUAUGGCUCUAGUUGUUGAGUGCGACAGUGGGAAGUCGACAGCGAUCAGCCUGUUGGAGAGGUUGUAUGAACCCCAAGCUGGUGAAGUACUCAUAGAUGACAUCAACUUGAAGAAGCCGCUGCUUGGAUGGAUCAGAGAGAAGAUUGGUCUUGUUAGCCAAGAGCCCAUCUUAUUCACAACUACUAUAAAUGAGAAUAUCGCAUAUGGUAAGGCAGGUGCUACAUUGGAAGAAAUCAGAACAGUAACUGAGAUUGCUAAUGCUGCAAGGUUUAUAGACAAGAUGCUACAGGUCACUUGCUUGUACUUUUUUUUUCGGUAAAUUCAUACUACUCUCUCAAAGAUGUUGUGGGUGGAAGGCUAGGAAAGGAAGACAUUUGUAGUUCGUUUUGGUAAAAUAA
Molecule: long non-coding RNA, 945 nt
Organism: Magnolia sinica
Lineage: Eukaryota; Viridiplantae; Streptophyta; Magnoliopsida; Magnoliales; Magnoliaceae
Exons: 2
Source: RefSeq, a predicted model, not a curated record